Molecule: non-coding RNA, 384 nt
Organism: Paramuricea clavata
Lineage: Eukaryota; Metazoa; Cnidaria; Anthozoa; Malacalcyonacea; Plexauridae
Source: the annotation of a GenBank genome assembly
CAUUAUGAAAACGUGUUCUGAGAGUCGCUGCGAGUGCUUUCUCGAUUUCUUCUUGCACUGUUUUCAAACUUGACAUUUUCGAUACAAGAAGAAACACAACUGCUCACAUGAUUCGUCUCGUAGUAUUUAUUCAUUUCUCGGAAUCAUAUCUUCUCCCUUUCUGUUCCUGUCGCCUGUUUCCUCCACGGUUCCUGUGAAUCAUCGAAAUUCGAAACUGACGAAACAUCGAAGUAACAAUCUCUAAACCUGCGAACGGGCAUGCUCUGGUUUUCAUUUAUCCAGUCAUUAAUCUUAAAUCCGGAUUACAAACCGCUGGUCUGAGUCCAGGUAAAAAUGCAAAAAACAUUGAAAGCUUGCAAAUGAGACAAAUCAUUUUAAUUAAGG